Molecule: ribosomal RNA, 253 nt
Filed under: uncultured bacterium
Lineage: Bacteria
Description: partial 16S ribosomal RNA
Rfam family: Bacterial small subunit ribosomal RNA
Source: RNAcentral
UACGUAGGGUGCGAGCGUUAAUCGGAAUUACUGGGCGUAAAGCGUGCGUAGGCGGUUGGUUAAGUUUGUCGUGAAAGCCCCGGGCUCAACCUGGGAAUGGCGAUGAAAACUGGCGAGCUGGAGUGUGGCAGAGGGGGGUGGAAUUCCAGGUGUAGCAGUGAAAUGCGUAGAGAUCUGGAGGAACACCGAUGGCGAAGGCAGCCCCCUGGGCUGACACUGACGCUGAGGCACGAAAGCGUGGGGAGCAAACAGG